This 258-nucleotide ribosomal RNA is filed under the name uncultured bacterium. RNAcentral's name for it is "partial 16S ribosomal RNA". It matches the Rfam family "Bacterial small subunit ribosomal RNA", at positions 526 to 779 of the family's 1533-position model. The record is from RNAcentral.
CGGAGGGGCGUAGCGUUGUUCGGAAUUACUGGGCGUAAAGACGCACGUAGGCGGACCGGAAAGUACAGAGGUGAAAUACCCAGGGCUCAACCUUGGAACUGCCUUUGAAACUCCUGGUCUUGAGGUCGAGAGAGGUGAGUGGAAUUCCGAGUGUAGAGGUGAAAUUACGUAGAUAUUCGGAGGAACACCAGUGGCGAAGGCGGCUCACCGGCUCGAUACUGACGCUGAGGUGCGAAAGCGUGGGGAGCAAACAGGAUU